AACCGCUUCUUUCCUGAGUAGAACCGAACUUCUAAACGGUCUUUUUCUUAACUUUCAGUUGGAAUAAUCUAAAGUAAAUGAUAUAACUAAUUAAAAUUAACGUCUGCACCCAAUUUAAAAAUAAGCCCUAAAAGAUAGGGUGUAGUAUUCUGAGCAAAAUAACUUUCUGAGUAACCCCUGAAAUAAUCGUAAUAACAUCACUCAUGAUUAAGACCACCAUCAACGGGCACAUAGAUGAGCAAGACGUACCCCUAUACAGAAGCACAGCUAUAUGCUACCAUGCUAUACUUACGACGUGUGGAUGACACACGAUUCACGGGAUACUUGAUACUCAACAUAGUCUCCGAUAUAGUCUCUACGCCAAUUAUUUCUUACCAUUCAAUUACGCAAAGCAAGCUUCUACAAUUUGCUUACUGCCACUUUAAGUGCGAAUUCACAACUUCGAAAUCAAUGAAGACCCAGCUGAGAAGACAUUUGAAUCUUUCAUCGAUUUAGGGGAAAAUUUAUAUGGUUUUCCCUCCCUUUAUCGGGAAGUUUGUUGUAAAUCAGCAUGUUUUUACAGAUUUGAAAGCUUACAGUAACGUCAAUCUAGUUUUUAAAAAAGCCCUUGUAAAACCAAAACCCCCUAUAGUUCUGGUAAAGAUGUUACGCGAUUGUGGAGUUCAAGUCCAAGAAGAUUGAGAUUUCAUCUCAAGAAACGGCGUUUCGGUUCACCAGAGCACCGAUUCUCGGCUGUCAACAUUGUUGAGUAUGCUUUAGAAAUGAUUGGAUCGUUGAGUCGAUCGUAUUCGUUAUGAACACGAUAACGACGGCUUGCACAGCGAAUGUUACGUAAGAAUUUUUUUAACAGCUCACUUAAACUUUCAGUUUGAUUCUGCCAAUAAACUGACACCGCAUUA
Daphnia magna is the source of this 899-nucleotide long non-coding RNA. RefSeq lists it as uncharacterized. Lineage: Eukaryota; Metazoa; Arthropoda; Branchiopoda; Diplostraca; Daphniidae. The record is from RefSeq and is a predicted model, not a curated record. The transcript has 2 exons.